ACGAACGCUGGCGGUGUGCUUAACACAUGCAAGUGGUGCGACGAACCCGAGCUUGCUCUGGGGCAAAGCCGCGAACGGGUGAGUAACACGUGGGUAAUCUACCCCGAUGACCGGGACAACCCGAGGAAACUCGGGCUAAUACCGGAUGUGGUGCGGAGACAUAAGUCUCUUCACUAAAGGUAGCUUCGGCUUCCGCAUUGGGAGGGGCCCGCGGCCCAUUAGCUUGUUGGUGGGGUCAAGGCCUACCAAGGCAACGAUGGGUAGCUGGUCUGAGAGGACGAUCAGCCACACUGGGACUGAGACACGGCCCAGACUCCUACGGGAGGCAGCAGUGGGGAAUCUUGCGCAAUGCGCGAAAGCGUGACGCAGCAACACCGCGUGAGGGAAGAAGGCCUUAGGGUUGUAAACCUCUUUCAGAUGGGACGAAGGUUCUCCGGUGAAUAGCCGAGAGGAUUGACGGUACCGUCAGAAGAAGCUCCGGCUAACUACGUG
Molecule: ribosomal RNA, 492 nt
Filed under: uncultured bacterium
Lineage: Bacteria
Description: partial 16S ribosomal RNA
Rfam family: Bacterial small subunit ribosomal RNA
Source: RNAcentral